This 500-nucleotide ribosomal RNA is filed under the name Caulobacteraceae bacterium secS. Its description in RNAcentral is "bacterial SSU rRNA". It matches the Rfam family "Bacterial small subunit ribosomal RNA", at positions 355 to 872 of the family's 1533-position model. The record is from RNAcentral. Lineage: Bacteria; Pseudomonadati; Pseudomonadota; Alphaproteobacteria; Caulobacterales; Caulobacteraceae.
UGGGGAAUCUUGCGCAAUGGGCGAAAGCCUGACGCAGCCAUGCCGCGUGAAUGAUGAAGGUCUUAGGAUUGUAAAAUUCUUUCACCGGGGACGAUAAUGACGGUACCCGGAGAAGAAGCCCCGGCUAACUUCGUGCCAGCAGCCGCGGUAAUACGAAGGGGGCUAGCGUUGCUCGGAAUUACUGGGCGUAAAGGGCGCGUAGGCGGACAUUUAAGUCAGGGGUGAAAUCCCAGAGCUCAACUCUGGAACUGCCUUUGAUACUGGGUGUCUUGAGUGUGAGAGAGGUAUGUGGAACUCCGAGUGUAGAGGUGAAAUUCGUAGAUAUUCGGAAGAACACCAGUGGCGAAGGCGACAUACUGGCUCAUUACUGACGCUGAGGCGCGAAAGCGUGGGGAGCAAACAGGAUUAGAUACCCUGGUAGUCCACGCCGUAAACGAUGAUUGCUAGUUGUCGGGCUGCAUGCAGUUCGGUGACGCAGCUAACGCAUUAAGCAAUUCCGC